CUCCCGUGUGGAUUCUUUGAUGCUGAA
RNAcentral lists this non-coding RNA (27 nucleotides) under Homo sapiens (human). The record is from RNAcentral. Lineage: Eukaryota; Metazoa; Chordata; Mammalia; Primates; Hominidae.